RNAcentral lists this small nuclear RNA (141 nucleotides) under Heterocephalus glaber (naked mole-rat). RNAcentral describes it as "7SK RNA". It matches the Rfam family "7SK RNA", at positions 1 to 200 of the family's 331-position model. From Rfam's summary of the family: 7SK was discovered as an abundant small nuclear RNA in the mid-70s but a possible function has only recently been suggested. Lineage: Eukaryota; Metazoa; Chordata; Mammalia; Rodentia; Bathyergidae. The record is from Rfam by way of RNAcentral.
UGAUGCAAGGGAGAUUUGGCAGGAGGGCAUCCCCUUACUCCCUCACUGCUCUGUGUGCAUCUCCCCAAAGCUGUGCUCUCAGUUAAGAAGACAGCCUCCCCAGUAGAGGAGGACCAUUCUUUGGUCAAAGGUAAAACAACA